RNAcentral lists this ribosomal RNA (497 nucleotides) under uncultured bacterium. RNAcentral describes it as "partial 16S ribosomal RNA". It matches the Rfam family "Bacterial small subunit ribosomal RNA", at positions 28 to 507 of the family's 1533-position model. The record is from RNAcentral.
GAUGAACGCUGGCGGCGUGCCUAAUACAUGCAAGUCGAGCGAACGGACGAGAAGCUUGCUUCUCUGAUGUUAGCGGCGGACGGGUGAGUAACACGUGGAUAACCUACCUAUAAGACUGGGAUAACUUCGGGAAACCGGAGCUAAUACCGGAUAAUAUUUUGAACCGCAUGGUUCAAAAGUGGAAGACGGUCUUGCUGUCACUUAUACAUGGAUCCGCGCUGCAUUAGCUAGUUGGUAAGGUAACGGCUUACCAAGGCAACGAUGCAUAGCCGACCUGAGAGGGUGAUCGGCCACACUGGAACUGAGACACGGUCCAGACUCCUACGGGAGGCAGCAGUAGGGAAUCUUCCGCAAUGGGCGAAAGCCUGACGGAGCAACGCCGCGUGAGUGAUGAAGGUCUUCGGAUCGUAAAACUCUGUUAUUAGGGAAGAACAUAUGUGUAAGUAACUGUGCACAUCUUGACGGUACCUAAUCAGAAAGCCACGGCUAACUACGUG